Molecule: RNase P RNA, 335 nt
Filed under: Mariniflexile litorale
Lineage: Bacteria; Pseudomonadati; Bacteroidota; Flavobacteriia; Flavobacteriales; Flavobacteriaceae
Description: RNase P RNA component class A
Rfam family: Bacterial RNase P class A
About the family: Ribonuclease P (RNase P) is a ubiquitous endoribonuclease, found in archaea, bacteria and eukarya as well as chloroplasts and mitochondria.
Source: RNAcentral
CAAGUAAAUCGCCUUAUCGCUUUCCGUUUUUCGGAAGGAGGAAAGUCCGAACACCGUAGUGCAACAUAGUGGCUAAUAACCACCAGCCGUGAGGUUAGGAAAAGUGCAACAGAAAGUAUGUACAGGUCAUGCUGUAGUGAAACCAGGUAAACUCUAUGUGGUGCAAUGUCAUGUAUACCAACGUUUGAGGGCGGCACGCUCGAUUGUUGGAGGGUAGGCAGCUAAAGUGUAUUGGUAACAAUGCACGCAGAUAAAUGAUAAGGGCUUUUUAUAUUUUAAAUUCAUUUUAUAAAUAUAAAAAUGUACAGAAUUCGGCUUAUAGAUUUACUUGUUUA